This 253-nucleotide ribosomal RNA is filed under the name uncultured bacterium. Its description in RNAcentral is "partial 16S ribosomal RNA". It matches the Rfam family "Bacterial small subunit ribosomal RNA", at positions 524 to 776 of the family's 1533-position model. The record is from RNAcentral.
UACGUAGGGUGCAAGCGUUAAUCGGAAUUACUGGGCGUAAAGCGUGCGCAGGCGGUUAUGUAAGACAGAUGUGAAAUGCCCGGGCUUAACCUGGGAACUGCAUUUGUGACUGCAUUGCUGGAGUGCGGCAGAGGGGGAUGGAAUUCCGCGUGUAGCAGUGAAAUGCGUAGAUAUGCGGAGGAACACCGAUGGCGAAGGCAGCCUCCUGGGCCAGCACUGACGCUCAUGCACGAAAGCGUGGGGAGCAAACAGG